RNAcentral lists this small RNA (99 nucleotides) under Arabidopsis thaliana (thale cress). RNAcentral describes it as "ATSL222620". Lineage: Eukaryota; Viridiplantae; Streptophyta; Magnoliopsida; Brassicales; Brassicaceae. The record is from RNAcentral.
GCUCUUGCAUUUUUGCUUCCGCUAGUUGAAGCUUUGCUACGUUUUCUGGAAUCGGAGCUUCUCUUACACGUGCUUGCCGUCUAGAGACUUCCGUUGCCU